GGAUUGGCUCUGAGGGUUGGGUAUAGGGGUCCUUGAUUGAUGUUCGAGCUGAGCAGAAGCUACUUGACGCCUCUGGUGGAUAGUGGAUUCGCGCAUGGCAGAAUUGCCGUUCAAGGAACGCCUUUCGGGGCUUUUCCUGUGCAGUGAACAACCAACUCAGAACU
This 164-nucleotide ribosomal RNA is filed under the name Prorocentrum micans. The record is from RNAcentral. Lineage: Eukaryota; Dinophyceae; Prorocentrales; Prorocentraceae.